This 468-nucleotide ribosomal RNA is filed under the name uncultured bacterium. RNAcentral's name for it is "partial 16S ribosomal RNA". It matches the Rfam family "Bacterial small subunit ribosomal RNA", at positions 28 to 507 of the family's 1533-position model. The record is from RNAcentral.
GACGAACGCUGGCGGCGUGCUUAACACAUGCAAGUCGAACGGAAAGGCCCUGCUUUUGUGGGGUGCUCGAGUGGCGAACGGGUGAGUAACACGUGAGUAACCUGCCCUUGACUUUGGGAUAACUUCAGGAAACUGGGGCUAAUACCGGAUAGGAGCUCCUGCUGCAUGGUGGGGGUUGGAAAGUUUCGGCGGUUUGGGAUGGACUCGCGGGUUAUCAGCUUGUUGGUGGGGUAGUGGCUUACCAAGUCUUUGACGGGUAGGCGGCCUGGGAGGGUGACCGGCGACAUUGGGACUGAGAGACGGCCCAGACGCCUACGGGAGGCAGCAGUGGGGAAUAUGGCACAAUGGGCGGAAGCCUGAUACAGCAACGCCGCGUGCGGGAUGACGGCCUUCGGGGUGUAAACCGCUUUCGCCUGUGACGAAGCGUGAGUGACGGUAAUGGGUAAAGAAGCACCGGCUAACUACGUG